Small nuclear RNA from Psammomys obesus (fat sand rat), 103 nucleotides. The record is from RefSeq and is a predicted model, not a curated record. NCBI's taxonomy places the organism in Eukaryota, Metazoa, Chordata, Mammalia, Rodentia, Muridae.
CCUCAGUUCAGCAGCAGAUACUAAAGUUAGACCGAUACAGAGAAGAUCAGCUCAGCCCUUGUUCUUGGGUGACAGGCACAUUCAUGAAGAGCGCCAUCUUUUU